Molecule: long non-coding RNA, 197 nt
Filed under: Struthio camelus australis
Lineage: Eukaryota; Metazoa; Chordata; Aves; Struthioniformes; Struthionidae
Description: lncRNA (ENSSCUG00000007464.1)
Source: RNAcentral
UAAACAGGGCAGCCGCAGGGAGGAGGAACACAAGGCGCAGGGAGACAGAAAGGCAGGGGCGGCCAUGAUGGAUCCCAGCGCCACAAACAAGGGGCCAAGCCCGCGCCGGGCCGCCUGGAUUCCCGGGUGUUCGCAGAGCCCUAAAGCUUGACUGUGAUGCUGGCACAACUAGAGCCCCACAGACAUACAGAGGAGCU